GAUGAACGCUGGCGGCGUGCCUAAUACAUGCAAGUCGAGCGAACAGACGAGGAGCUUGCUCCUCUGACGUUAGCGGCGGACGGGUGAGUAACACGUGGAUAACCUACCUAUAAGACUGGGAUAACUUCGGGAAACCGGAGCUAAUACCGGAUAAUAUAUUGAACCGCAUGGUUCAAUAGUGAAAGACGGUUUUGCUGUCACUUAUAGAUGGAUCCGCGCCGCAUUAGCUAGUUGGUAAGGUAACGGCUUACCAAGGCAACGAUGCGUAGCCGACCUGAGAGGGUGAUCGGCCACACUGGAACGGAGCCACGGUCAAGACUCCUACGGGAGGCAGCAGUAGGGAAUCUUCCGCAAUGGGCGAAAGCCUGACGGAGCAACGCCGCGUGAGUGAUGAAGGUCUUCGGAUCGUAAAACUCUGUUAUUAGGGAAGAACAAAUGUGUAAGUAACUAUGCACGUCUUGACGGUACCUAAUCAGAAUGCCACGGCUAACUACGUG
This 497-nucleotide ribosomal RNA is filed under the name uncultured bacterium. Its description in RNAcentral is "partial 16S ribosomal RNA". It matches the Rfam family "Bacterial small subunit ribosomal RNA", at positions 28 to 507 of the family's 1533-position model. The record is from RNAcentral.